UACGGGGGGAGCAAGCGUUGUUCGGAUUUACUGGGCGUAAAGGGCGUGGAGGCGGCCACCGCAAGUCGGUUGUGAAAUCUCCGGGCUUAACCCGGAAAGGUCAACCGAUACUGCGGGGCUAGAGUGCAGAAGGGGCAACUGGAAUUCUCGGUGUAGCGGUGAAAUGCGUAGAUAUCGAGAGGAACACCUGCGGCGAAGGCGGGUUGCUGGGCUGACACUGACGCUGAAACGCGAAAGCUAGGGGAGCGAACGGG
This 254-nucleotide ribosomal RNA is filed under the name uncultured bacterium. RNAcentral describes it as "partial 16S ribosomal RNA". It matches the Rfam family "Bacterial small subunit ribosomal RNA", at positions 524 to 776 of the family's 1533-position model. The record is from RNAcentral.